UACGGAGGGUGCGAGCGUUGUCCGGAAUCACUGGGCGUAAAGGGCGCGUAGGCGGCGCGGGAAGUCCGUGGUGAAAGCCCGAGGCUCAACUUCGGGUCGGCCAUGGAUACUCCUGGGCUCGAGCACUGUAGAGGCAGGUGGAAUUCCGGGUGUAGCGGUGGAAUGCGUAGAGAUCCGGAAGAACACCGGUGGCGAAGGCGGCCUGCUGGGCAGUGACCGCAAUGUCUUAAAAACUGACGCUGAGGC
RNAcentral lists this ribosomal RNA (246 nucleotides) under uncultured bacterium. RNAcentral's name for it is "partial 16S ribosomal RNA". It matches the Rfam family "Bacterial small subunit ribosomal RNA", at positions 524 to 772 of the family's 1533-position model. The record is from RNAcentral.